This 307-nucleotide ribosomal RNA is filed under the name uncultured eukaryote. Its description in RNAcentral is "partial 18S ribosomal RNA". It matches the Rfam family "Eukaryotic small subunit ribosomal RNA", at positions 1470 to 1796 of the family's 1831-position model. The record is from RNAcentral.
CCCUUAGACGUUCUGGGCCGCACGCGCGCUACACUGACAAAGGCAACGAGCUACUCUUCACCGAAAGGUGUGGGUAAUCUUUUGAAACUUUGUCGUGCUGGGGAUAGAUCCUUGCAAUUUUUGAUCUUAAACGAGGAAUUCCUAGUAAGCGCAAGUCAUCAACUUGCGUUGAUUACGUCCCUGCCCUUUGUACGCACCGCCCGUCGCUACUACCGAUUGAAUGGUUUAGUGAGGCCUUCGGAUCCGCGACUCGUUUGUGGAGAAGUUGGACAAACUCAGUCAUUUAGAGGAAGUAAAAGUCGUAACA